This 31-nucleotide ribosomal RNA is filed under the name Tuckermannopsis ciliaris. RNAcentral's name for it is "partial 18S ribosomal RNA". The record is from RNAcentral. Lineage: Eukaryota; Fungi; Ascomycota; Lecanoromycetes; Lecanorales; Parmeliaceae.
UUUCCGUAGGUGAACNUGCGGAAGGAUCAUU